This is a long non-coding RNA of Gordionus sp. m RMFG-2023, 142 nucleotides long. RefSeq lists it as uncharacterized. The transcript is spliced from 3 exons. Lineage: Eukaryota; Metazoa; Nematomorpha; Gordioida; Chordodea; Parachordodidae. The record is from RefSeq and is a predicted model, not a curated record.
GUUCGAUUUACAAAUUCACCAGAUUUCUUAAUCUAUUUGCCCUGAUUCACAAAAUGAUUUUAACUCAAUCCGUAUACACUAAAAGAGAAAUAUAUUACCGUUUCAAAAACUUGUACAAAUCUCAAGAUACAUUGAACAGGAC